GACAGAGGGGGCAAGCGGUGUCCGGAGUUACUGGGCGUAAAGGGCGCGGAGGCGGUCGGCGGCGUCGGCGCUGAAAGCGCCCCGCUUAACGGGGCGAGGCGUGCCGAUACGCGCAGACUUGAGGAGAGCAGAGGGUGGUGGAAUUCCGGGUGGAGCGGUGAAAUGCGUAGAGAUCCGGAGGAACGCCAGUGGGGAAGCCGGCCACCUGGGCUCGUCCUGACGCUGCGGCGCGACCGCGUGGGGAGUAAACCGG
Molecule: ribosomal RNA, 253 nt
Filed under: uncultured bacterium
Lineage: Bacteria
Description: partial 16S ribosomal RNA
Rfam family: Bacterial small subunit ribosomal RNA
Source: RNAcentral